GCAUAUCAAAAAGCGGAGGAAAAGAAACUAACAAGGAUUCCCCUAGUAACUGCGAGUGAAGCGGGAAAAGCUCAAAUUUAAAAUCUGGUGGUCUUUGGCCAUCCGAGUUGUAAUCUAGAGAAGUGUUAUCCGCGCUGGACCGUGUACAAGUCCCCUGGAAUGGGGCGUCAUAGAGGGUGAGAAUCCCGUCUUUGACACGGACUACCAGGGCUUUGUGAUGCACUCUCAAAGAGUCGAGUUGUUUGGGAAUGCAGCUCAAAAUGGGUGGUAAAUUCCAUCUAAAGCUAAAUAUUGGCGAGAGACCGAUAGCGAACAAGUACCGUGAGGGAAAGAUGAAAAGAACUUUGGAAAGAGAGUUAAACAGUACGUGAAAUUGUUGAAAGGGAAACGCUUGAAGUCAGUCGCGUCUGCCAGGGAUCAACCUUACUUUUGUGAGGCGUACUUCCUGGUUGAUGGGUCAGCAUCAGUUUUGGUCGCUGGAUAAAGGUCAGAGAAAUGUGGCACCUUCGGGUGUGUUAUAGUCUUUGAUCAGAUACAGUGGCUGGGACUGAGGAACUCAGCGCCGCAAGGCUGUCUUAGGAUGCUGGCAAAAUGGCUUUAAUCGACCCGUCUUGAAACACGGACAAAAGGGAGUCA
This 636-nucleotide ribosomal RNA is filed under the name Pleurotus ostreatus (oyster mushroom). Its description in RNAcentral is "LSU rRNA". It matches the Rfam family "Eukaryotic large subunit ribosomal RNA", at positions 38 to 678 of the family's 3401-position model. The record is from RNAcentral. Lineage: Eukaryota; Fungi; Basidiomycota; Agaricomycetes; Agaricales; Pleurotaceae.